Molecule: ribosomal RNA, 458 nt
Filed under: uncultured bacterium
Lineage: Bacteria
Description: partial 16S ribosomal RNA
Rfam family: Bacterial small subunit ribosomal RNA
Source: RNAcentral
GAUGAAUGCUGGCGGCGUGCUUAACACAUGCAAGUCGAGCGGUAAGGCCCUUCGGGGUACACGAGCGGCGGACGGCUGAGUAACGCGUGGGAACAUGCCCUAAAGUGAGGAAUAACUGCCCGAAAGCGUGGCUCAUGCCGCAGAUGAUCUUCGGAUUAAAGGAUUUAUCCGCUUUAGGAGUGGCCUGCGUACGAUUAGCUUGUUGGUGAGGUAAUGGCUUACCAAGGCGACGAUCGUUAGCUGGUCUGAGAGGAUGACCAGCCAGACUGGAACUGAGACACGGUCCAGACUCCUACGGGAGGCAGCAGUGAGGAAUCUUCCACAAUGGGCGAAAGCCUGAUGGAGCAACGCCGCGUGCAGGAUGAAGGCCCUCGGGUCGUAAACUGCUUUUAUGAGUGAAGAAUAUGACGGUAACUCAUGAAUAAGCACCGGCUAACUACGUGCCAGCCGCCGCCGUA